RNAcentral lists this small RNA (797 nucleotides) under Drosophila mojavensis. RNAcentral describes it as "GI25504". Lineage: Eukaryota; Metazoa; Arthropoda; Insecta; Diptera; Drosophilidae. The record is from RNAcentral.
UCGCGCUGUGCGGUUGUGUGGAGCGGAAAGUUGAAAUUCGCUUUCAAGUUGCCCAAAAGGUUUUUGUCAUUUGUUUUCGCAUUGUUCGCGCAUUGUUGAUUUCAAUUGUGAGAGAAGCGGCAGCAGCAGCAGCAGCAUCCCAAAAGAAACUGCAGUCGCUGAUGUUUGUGUUCUAUUCGUAAUCGGAGUCGGUGCAAUAAAACGCGGCAAUAUUUUCAGUUAAAAAUAAAUAAAAAUUUAAAUAAAAAUAAAUCCAUAAGAAAAAAUUGAAAGUGAAAUUCGUUAAUAACGGUAAAUCAAAUACAACGCGACGACGAGAAAAAAUUUGUUGAAUGAAACGCUCAGAGGAAAAGAAGCAAAUAUAAAUUAAUUGCUUAAAAAAAUAAAAUAAAUAAUAAUAAUUUUAAAAAUCUAACGGCAUACAAAAUUAAUAUUCAUAUUCAUUCAAUGCAAAGUGUUUAACAGUUUAACAAAACAAAUUAAAAGUGUUUCAACAAUUUACUAAAGCGAUUCCAAUUAGAAUUUGGGCUUCGACAACAGCACCAGCAACACCAACAAUAAUAAACAUAAGUUUCGAAAAUCGUAUAUACAGAAGUUACAUAUAUAUUGAGAAACUUGUGCCAAAAAGCAACUCAUAAGCAAUAUUAGACGUCGCGGCAAUUGCGCAACAAAUAAUAUUUCUGUCUAAAGGUAAAUAUGUCAACCAAAUACUUUAGAUUCUUAUACUCCAAAGGGCAUUUGAUAUAGCUCUGCAGUGAAAACCUUUUCUUUUUUCAUAUAAGAGGGGCAACAGGUUU